RNAcentral lists this ribosomal RNA (439 nucleotides) under uncultured bacterium. Its description in RNAcentral is "partial 16S ribosomal RNA". It matches the Rfam family "Bacterial small subunit ribosomal RNA", at positions 339 to 795 of the family's 1533-position model. The record is from RNAcentral.
CUACGGGCGGCAGCAGUGGGGAAUUUUGCGCAAUGGGGGAAACCCUGACGCAGCAAUACCGCGUGAGUGAAGAAGGCCUUUGGGUCGUAAAGCUCCUUUCUGAGGGAAGAUAGUGACGGUACCUCAGGAAUAAGCACCGGCUAACUCCGUGCCAGCAGCCGCGGUAAUACGGAGGGUGCAAGCGUUGUUCGGAUUUACUGGGCGUAAAGGGCACGUAGGCGGCACAGCAAGUUAAGGGUGAGAUCCCGGGGCUCAACUCCGGAACUGCUCUUAAAACUGCUGAGCUAGAGAUAGUCAGAGGCGGGUGGAAUUCCAGGUGUAGAGGUGAAAUUCGUAGAUAUCUGGAGGAACACCGGUGGCGAAGGCGGCCCGCUGGGGCUAUUCUGACGCUAAGGUGCGAAAGCGUGGGGAGCGAACGGGAUUAGAUACCCGGGUAGUC